UACGUAGGGACCAAGCGUUGUUCGGAUUUACUGGGCGUAAAGGGCGCGUAGGCGGCCUGGCAAGUGACGGGUGAAAGCCCUCGGCUCAACCGAGGAACUGCCUGUCAUACUGCCGGGCUUGAGUCCGGGAGAGGUGAGUGGAAUUCCCAGUGUAGCGGUGAAAUGCGUAGAUAUUGGGAGGAACACCAGUGGCGAAGGCGGCUCACUGGACCGGAACUGACGCUGAGGCGCGAAAGCGUGGGGAGCAAACAGG
Molecule: ribosomal RNA, 253 nt
Filed under: uncultured bacterium
Lineage: Bacteria
Description: partial 16S ribosomal RNA
Rfam family: Bacterial small subunit ribosomal RNA
Source: RNAcentral